RNAcentral lists this long non-coding RNA (1890 nucleotides) under Brassica rapa (field mustard). RNAcentral describes it as "long non-coding RNA (BRAP_LNC007132)". The record is from RNAcentral. Lineage: Eukaryota; Viridiplantae; Streptophyta; Magnoliopsida; Brassicales; Brassicaceae.
CUUCAUCUUCAGUCUUAUUCCUCUGCAUAUUUACAUAAUACUAGACAACAUGUUGCAUCGUAUGAUUGGUAUAGAUUUUGAUAUAUACAUCUCAUCUAAGACAUGUCAUAAGUCACAACGCUCCAACAUCAAAACUAAUUGUUGAUCUAGCUGUCCCCUUCUUUUCUUUCUUCAAAUCUUGGAUCAUCCUGUGUUUUAGGUAUGUUUCUUGAGAAUCAAUCUCCUCAUUUUCAUUUCCUAUGACUCAACAUCCUUUGCUACUUCCAAGAAACCAGUGUAUGUAAAUGUAACCGCUCUCUCCUAUCAAAAUUCUUUUCACCAACUAAUGUAGAACAAUAUAGAAGAAGAGAUUAGUAUUCAGCUUCGUUCGCAAUCUGAAUUCUUAUGCUAUUUUGUGAGAAUUUAACCUAGAGUUUCGUGUAAAAGUAUUAACAUUUAACAUCUUCUCCACAAAUGAACACACACAUCGACACACACACAUAAAUAGGAGAUUAAGAGCUUGACUGGUUUUUCCGCUACCACCCGCAAACGCAGCUUGCAGUUGGUAGCGGUUUACAGCUUCGAAACAAUCAUACAAACUGCUGCAAAUCGCGCUCCGAACCUCUUAAAAUCAAAAGCUGGUUCCAGCUAGCAUUUGCGGCUGCGGACGGUUGCGGGAGGAUAAUUUUUUUUUCUUUUUCUUUAAAAACCAUAUAAAUACAAAAAUAAAAAUAUUCAAUAAAUUUUUCAAAAUGGAAUUAUAAAAAUACUAAAAUAUAUCUAUUAUAUUUUAAUUAAUAUUAUAAAAUUUUAAAAUAAAAUAUUUUCUAUAAUUUUAAAAAUUUAAAACUAUAACUUUGAAAAUAUAAUUUACAUAUUUAUUAUAAUAUUAUGAUUUUUGAUAUUUUUAUAAUUAUAUAAAAUGUAAAUAUUGUUAAUUUAUUAUUUAACCGCUACUGUAUUUAGUAGUUAACCAGUCAUAAGUAUCCCGCAAACGCACCAAUUUCUAACCGCAGAACCAGUCGUAUAAAUCUCUUAAAACUGCUAGAAACCGCAACCACCUGCAUCCGCAAACACCCGCAGCCGCAACCGUAACCGCUGCGUUUGAACCAGUCAGGCCCUAAAGGGAAAAUUUUAUAUUUACCAUUUUCAUGGUACUAUUAUUCAUUUUUACCACCACUAAAUGAAUAUUUUUAAAAAUACAUUCUUCAAUUUUAUUUUUAUUUUUAGUUUUUUUUUAAUUUUUAUUUCAAUUUUAUUCAUCUUCUCAGAAACAGAAACAUUCUAUAAUUUUUAUUAAAAAAUACAUUCUUUACCACCAUAUCCGUAAUUUUAUUCUUUAUUUAUUUAACUAAUUAUUGUCGCAAUUUCCCAGAUUUAAAAUGUAAAAUAUGAGACCGGUGAAUCUUAUGAACUCAAAACAACAACCUUGGAACUGAAGAACAAAUAACUCAGUUAGCUUAUUGUCUCUCUUUGUUUCUUUAUUCUUACACACGAGAGAAACAUCCUCUGUUUCACUUGGGUAAGAGUCAAGACUGAAUGAUCCCUACCUAGAAGAUCAUUUCUUGACGUCCCAAACCCUCUGAUUCGUCUAGUGUCUUUGAAAGACGCUAGCUUUUUUGUUAUAAUUGAACAUGAGACUAGACUAUUAAUUAAUCAAUUUUCACCUGACUUUGGUCUCCGCUACCGACAAACAGUCACAGCCAACGCUAAGCUUUUGUCCCACUGUAAGAAUAAAAGAAAUGGCAUCACAACUUUAACAAAUAUCUCAAAAGUUAGGUCCCUUUAUCACCGAAAGUUUUCUCUCUUGACUUCACCAACAACCUUUCUACGAGAGUUGAUCGGCGAUAUGGAGACCGAAGUCAUCACCAAACCGCACAGACUCAAGUUCGACGUCUUCCUCAGCUUCCG